ACGAACGCUGGCGGCGUGCUUAACACAUGCCAGUCGAACGGAAAGGCCCUGCUUGCAGGGUACUCGAGUGGCGAACGGGUGAGUAACACGUGGGUGAUCUGCCCUGCACUUCGGGAUAAGCCUGGGAAACUGGGUCUAAUACCGGAUAGGAGCCAUUUUUCGUGUGAUGGUUGGAAAGUUUUUUCGGUGUAGGAUGAGCUCGCGGCCUAUCAGCUUGUUGGUGGGGUAAUGGCCUACCAAGGCGGCGACGGGUAGCCGGCCUGAGAGGGUGGACGGCCACAUUGGGACUGAGAUACGGCCCAGACUCCUACGGGAGGCAGCAGGGGGGAAUAUUGCACAAUGGGCGCAAGCCUGAUGCAGCGACGCCGCGUGGGGGAUGACGGCCUUCGGGUUGUAAACUCCUUUCGCUAGGGACGAAGCUUUAUGUGACGGUACCUAGAUAAGAAGCACCGGCUAACUACGUG
Molecule: ribosomal RNA, 464 nt
Filed under: uncultured bacterium
Lineage: Bacteria
Description: partial 16S ribosomal RNA
Rfam family: Bacterial small subunit ribosomal RNA
Source: RNAcentral